RNAcentral lists this ribosomal RNA (299 nucleotides) under uncultured bacterium. Its description in RNAcentral is "partial 16S ribosomal RNA". It matches the Rfam family "Bacterial small subunit ribosomal RNA", at positions 475 to 776 of the family's 1533-position model. The record is from RNAcentral.
CUAUGCGCCUUGCCAGCCCGCUCAGGUGUGCCAGCCGCCGCGGUAAUACGUAGGUGGCAAGCGUUGUCCGGAUUUACUGGGUGUAAAGGGCGUGUAGCCGGGCUGACAAGUCAGAUGUGAAAUUCCGGGGCUCAACCCCGGACCUGCAUUUGAAACUGUUGGUCUUGAGUAUCGGAGAGGCAGGCGGAAUUCCUAGUGUAGCGGUGAAAUGCGUAGAUAUUAGGAGGAACACCAGUGGCGAAGGCGGCCUGCUGGACGACAACUGACGGUGAGGCGCGAAAGCGUGGGGAGCAAACAGG